CUCUGGAUUUUAUAAGUUCAGGGCAAAAGGAG
This 32-nucleotide non-coding RNA is filed under the name Fructilactobacillus sanfranciscensis TMW 1.1304. The record is from RNAcentral. Lineage: Bacteria; Bacillati; Bacillota; Bacilli; Lactobacillales; Lactobacillaceae.